AUCCAGACCCUUGGAGACUGUUGGCAUGGUAACGUCACCCACCAGUGAGAAGAUCACCAGGACUGGAGUGAAGGUGUCAGGUUCCUGUCAGUUUAUCACAACAUUCCCACCAGACGAGGGACACUAUCACUUUGUUGUUUCUGUCUCACCCGGCGGACGAAAUUACUCAGUGAAAUUACCCGCCGACACUAAGUGGAUUGCAGUCGAACGUCCCCGACUGCCUAGUGUGUCCUGCGGGCCAAAGCCUCAUCUCAGA
Pomacea canaliculata is the source of this 256-nucleotide long non-coding RNA. RefSeq lists it as uncharacterized. The transcript has 2 exons. Lineage: Eukaryota; Metazoa; Mollusca; Gastropoda; Architaenioglossa; Ampullariidae. The record is from RefSeq and is a predicted model, not a curated record.